AUCACGUCGCUCACAACAAACAUCCNGUUUGGAUUUCGUUGUAUGUGGGCGGAUACUGGUCUCCUGUGCCUACGGUGCNGUUGGCCCAAACACGAGUCCGCUUAAGAGUGACGCACGACUGGUGGUGGUUGAUUAAACAGUCGUCUCGUGUCGUGUGAAUUUGAUUCUUGAACGGAUAACNCUUAAACUACCUUGAUGUGCCGUCUUGUGACGGCUCUUCGAUC
Molecule: ribosomal RNA, 224 nt
Filed under: Liatris provincialis
Lineage: Eukaryota; Viridiplantae; Streptophyta; Magnoliopsida; Asterales; Asteraceae
Description: partial internal transcribed spacer 2
Source: RNAcentral